GUGGGCUUUUAAUUUUUUUAAUUUCUUUUUGGGAACGGCGUGCAUUGUACUAUCCAGAUUUGAUCCAAUCCAAUACCGCUGAAGUCUCUGUAGAAAGUCGAGAUCGAACUUGGAAGGAAGAGCGAGCAAUAGCAAUGGCGUUUAUGAGGGGCGAGCCACUGGUCACGAAGCUGGCGGUUUUGGCCAAGUACGUGGUUCUUCCGGGAGCCAUGAUCGCUGCUCUCAUCUACUCUCCUCCAGAUUACGCGUCCUCCUCUAAGUCCGACAAGUCCCAGAAAUAAAUCAGGCCCCCUUUUCUAUUUCAGCUAUCGGGUCAUCUUCAUCACUUGGCAUGCAUGCUUGCAAAGGUCCACUCUCUUAGAUGAAUGGGGUAUGUAAUAAUUUCAUGAUAGAAUAAUUGUUGAGCUUUAGAAUGUAGUUAUUUGGAGUGAUGAACGCAUCUAGCUUAUGUUUGAAGAACUUUG
Molecule: long non-coding RNA, 464 nt
Organism: Juglans microcarpa x Juglans regia
Lineage: Eukaryota; Viridiplantae; Streptophyta; Magnoliopsida; Fagales; Juglandaceae
Exons: 2
Source: RefSeq, a predicted model, not a curated record